GAAGAGACCUAUUAGGGGAGGUCUGCACACCGUGGGUUACAGAAGGUAGGAACAGUGAUGACUUCCACCAUGGCCUGGACCCCUCUUCUCCUCACCCUACUUGCUCACUGUACAGGGUCCUGGGCCCAGUCUGUGCUGACUCAGCCACCAUCAGUGUCUGGGACCCUAGGCCAGAGGAUCACCAUCUCCUGCACCGGAAGCAGCUCCAACAUCGGGGGUCGUAAUGCUGUGAGCUGGUACCAACAAGUCCCAGGAAUGGGCCCCAAAACCGUCAUCUGUUGGGAUAACAGCAAACCCUCGGGGGUCCCAGAUAGAUUCUCCGGCUCAAAGUCUGGCAGUUCAGGCACCCUGACCAUCACUGGGCUGCAGGCUGAGGACGAGGCUGAUUAUUACUGCUCAGCAUGGGAUGAUAGUCUCAGUGCUCACACAGUGCUCCAGUCCUGUGGGGAACUUAAGGACGAGGCUGACUAUUACUGCUCAGUGUGGGAUGAAAGCAUCAAUGCUGACACAGUGCUACAGGCCCAUGGGGACCUAAGACAAAAACCUGCCCCUGCCCCUCGUGGUCACCCCCAUUAUUGCCUGUGA
Prionailurus viverrinus (fishing cat) is the source of this 585-nucleotide non-coding RNA. The record is from the annotation of a RefSeq genome assembly. Lineage: Eukaryota; Metazoa; Chordata; Mammalia; Carnivora; Felidae.